RNAcentral lists this ribosomal RNA (467 nucleotides) under uncultured bacterium. Its description in RNAcentral is "partial 16S ribosomal RNA". It matches the Rfam family "Bacterial small subunit ribosomal RNA", at positions 28 to 507 of the family's 1533-position model. The record is from RNAcentral.
GACGAACGCUGGCGGCGUGCUUAACACAUGCAAGUCGAACGGAAAGGCCCUGCUUUUGUGGGGUGCUCGAGUGGCGAACGGGUGAGUAACACGUGAGUAACCUGCCCUUGACUUUGGGAUAACUUCAGGAAACUGGGGCUAAUACCGGAUAGGAGCUCCUGCUGCAUGGUGGGGGUUGGAAAGUUUCGGCGGUUGGGGAUGGACUCGCGGCUUAUCAGCUUGUUGGUGGGGUAGUGGCUUACCAAGGCUUUGACGGGUAGCCGGCCUGGGAGGGUGACCGGCCACAGUGGGAUUGGGGUAGGGCCCGGACCCAAACGGGAGGAAGGGGGGGGGAAUUGACCAAACAGGGCGGAAGGCGGGAGGAAGAACGCCGGGGGGGGGAUGACGGCCUUCGGGGAGGAACAAAUUUUCACGUGGGAAGAAGCGUCGGGAAGGGAAAUGGUGAAAAAAGCACGGCUAAAUUCGGG